CGCACCUUGCGCUCCCUGGUAUUCCGGGGAGCACGCCUGUUCGAGUGUCAUGAAACUAUCAAACUUCAUAGCUUUAUUGCUUUAUGAGGUUUGGAUUUGGGCUUUGCAGCGUCAUUGCUGCUGGUCCUAAAUGCAUUAGCUGGCCCUUGUCAAGACUUGGUUCUACUCGGCGUGAUAAUUAUCUAACGUUGAGGACAUUUCCCUUUGGGAGAUGGCCAAUCUCGUCUAGGAUUGCUUCUAAUCGUCUUCGGACAACUUUUCAAUGAUCUGGCCUCGAAUCAGGUGGGACUACCCGCUGAACUUAA
RNAcentral lists this unclassified non-coding RNA (305 nucleotides) under Sistotrema sp. RNAcentral describes it as "partial contains 5.8S ribosomal RNA, internal transcribed spacer 2, and large subunit ribosomal RNA". Lineage: Eukaryota; Fungi; Basidiomycota; Agaricomycetes; Cantharellales; Hydnaceae. The record is from RNAcentral.